This 520-nucleotide ribosomal RNA is filed under the name uncultured Entrophospora. Its description in RNAcentral is "SSU rRNA". It matches the Rfam family "Eukaryotic small subunit ribosomal RNA", at positions 569 to 1084 of the family's 1831-position model. Lineage: Eukaryota; Fungi; Glomeromycota; Glomeromycetes; Entrophosporales; Entrophosporaceae. The record is from RNAcentral.
AGCAGCCGCGGCAAUUCCAGCUCCAAUAGCGUAUAUUAAAGUUGUUGCAGUUAAAAAGCUCGUAGUUGAAUUUCGGGAUUGGCGUGUCGGUCGUGCCUUAAGGGGUAUGAACUGGCGUCGUCGAUUUCUCACCUUCUGGAGAAACUCGAUGCCCUUAAUUGGGUGUCGUGCGGAACCAGGACCUUUACCUUGAAAAAAUUAGAGUGUUUAAAGCAGGCAUUUUUGCUCGAAUACAUUAGCAUGGAAUAAUAAAAUAGGACGGUUGGUUCUAUUUUGUUGGUUUCUAGGAUCACCGUAAUGAUUAAUAGGGAUAGUUGGGGGCAUUAGUAUUCAAUUGUCAAAGGUGAAAUUCUUGGAUUUAUUGAAGACUAACUACUGCGAAAGCAUUUGCCAAGGAUGUUUUCAUUAAUCAAGAACGAAAGUUAGGGGAUCGAAGACGAUCAGAUACCGUCGUAGUCUUAACCAUAAACUAUGCCGACUAGGGAUCGGAUGAUGUUAAUUUUUUAAUGACUCAUUCGGC